Molecule: ribosomal RNA, 486 nt
Filed under: uncultured bacterium
Lineage: Bacteria
Description: partial 16S ribosomal RNA
Rfam family: Bacterial small subunit ribosomal RNA
Source: RNAcentral
AUGAACGCUAGCGAUAGGCUUAACACAUGCAAGUCGCGGGGCAGCACAAGGUAGCUUGCUAUCUGGGUGGCGACCGGCGCACGGGUGCGUAACGCGUAUGCAACUUGCCCUAUACAGGAGGAUAACCCGUCGAAAGACGGACUAAUACUGCGUAUGCUCACAACUUGGCAUCAAGUGGUGAGGAAAGAAAUUCGGUAUAGGAUAGGCAUGCGUCCCAUUAGCUUGUUGGUGAGGUAACGGCUCACCAAGGCAACGAUGGGUAGGGGAACUGAGAGGUUUAUCCCCCACACUGGUACUGAGACACGGACCAGACUCCUACGGGAGGCAGAAGUGAGGAAUAUUGGUCAAUGGGCGCGAGCCUGAACCAGCCGAGUCGCGUGAAGGAUGACUGUCUUAUGGAUUGUAAACUUCUUUUAUACGGGAAUAACAAGAGUCACGUGUGACUCCCUGCAUGUACCGUAUGAAUAAGCAUCGGCUAACUCCGUG